CAGCCGCCGCGGGAAUACAGAGGGUGCAAGCGUUAAUCGGAAUUACUGGGCGUAAAGCGCGCGUAGGUGGUUUGUUAAGUCGGAUGUGAAAUCCCCGGGCUCAACCUGGGAACUGCAUCCGAAACUGGCAAGCUAGAGUAUGGUAGAGGGUAGUGGAAUUUCCUGUGUAGCGGUGAAAUGCGUAGAUAUAGGAAGGAACACCAGUGGCGAAGGCGACUACCUGGACUGAUACUGACACUGAGGUGCGAAAGCGUGGGGAGCAAACAGGAUUAGAUACCCCCGUAGUCCCUGUCUCUUAUAC
Molecule: ribosomal RNA, 301 nt
Filed under: uncultured bacterium
Lineage: Bacteria
Description: partial 16S ribosomal RNA
Rfam family: Bacterial small subunit ribosomal RNA
Source: RNAcentral